This 27-nucleotide non-coding RNA is filed under the name Homo sapiens (human). The record is from RNAcentral. Lineage: Eukaryota; Metazoa; Chordata; Mammalia; Primates; Hominidae.
UGCUGGUGCACUGAGUCCCUUGGGCGC